AUGUCAGAGUCCAGCGAGGAGGGACGUAGCCAUGCAACAAGCCUUCUCAUCACCGCAUGCCAAAAGAUAACUACUGCCCUAGACGGUAGUACAAUUGCGUCGAGUACAGACCAUGGAUGUGGUGCAGGCCAUGCAUUGAUGCAUGCAUUAGUACUAGUAGAAUUGAGUUUUAAUGCACUUUCUUCCCCGUCUUCCACUCUUCUUCCUCCUCUCUUCCCCAUCGCCGGUCGCACACCAUUUACCCCCGCUCACUGCUUGCCUGCCCGCACCAUCUUCCUUGCAGACGCAAAUGCGCUGGCCUUCAUGAUUCUCGGACCUGGAAUCAUACCAGCUGAUGGGUGGUGGUUUAUCGCUCGUUCAGCUGACGACGUACCAUAUAACUGGAAUUACCGAUGCAAGUCGAAGAAGGAUUGGCCGGUGCUCCCGGUGCUGCCGGCUGGCGUCAAGUUCCAUCCCAUGGAUCAGGACCUGAUCGAGCACCUUGAGUCCAAAGUGAGUGCUGACAGCGCGAGAUCUCACCCUCUCAUCGAUUUGUUCAUACCAACCAUCGACAAUGAGCAUGACAUAUGCUACACCCAACCUGAGAAACUUCCAGGUAUUACACUGAGUGGCCUAAGGAAGCUUCUUCCAGCGCAAUUCCUGGGCGUUCAAAAGGGGCACAUGGACGCGUCACAAGAUAUAACGAGCAACAAAAAGGUUCUGGUGCUGCACACCAACAAGAACUUCGACCAGCGGAGGACCAACUGGGUGACGCACCAGUACCACCUCGGGGACCUGGAGCAAGAGAAGGAGCGGGAGCUGGUCCUCUGCAAGAUUUUCUACCAGACGAACACUAGGGUCAGGAGUAAAAAGAUUAUAAGUUAG
Molecule: ribosomal RNA, 864 nt
Filed under: Triticum aestivum (bread wheat)
Lineage: Eukaryota; Viridiplantae; Streptophyta; Magnoliopsida; Poales; Poaceae
Description: partial small subunit ribosomal RNA
Source: RNAcentral